This 532-nucleotide ribosomal RNA is filed under the name Gerres macracanthus. RNAcentral describes it as "partial 16S rRNA". It matches the Rfam family "Bacterial large subunit ribosomal RNA", at positions 1944 to 2619 of the family's 2925-position model. The record is from RNAcentral. Lineage: Eukaryota; Metazoa; Chordata; Actinopteri; Gerreiformes; Gerreidae.
GACCGUGCGAAGGUAGCGUAAUCACUUGUCUUUUAAAUGAAGACCUGUAUGAAUGGCACGACGAGGGCUUGACUGUCUCCUUCCUCCAGUCAAUGAAAUUGAUCUCCCCGUGCAGAAGCGGAGAUUCUUACAUAAGACGAGAAGACCCUAUGGAGCUUUAGACUAUUAAGGCAGACUAUGUUAAGCACUCAAGAACAAACGACCGAACAGUAUACACACUGUCCUUAUUAUCUUUGGUUGGGGCGACCCUGGGGAAACACAAAACCCCCAUGAAGACAGGGAGAACAAACUCCUACAAGUACGAGCCACAACUCUAACUUACAGAACUUCUGACUUACAUGAUCCGGCCACGCCGAUCAACGGACCGAGUUACCCUAGGGAUAACAGCGCAAUCCUCUUCUAGAGCUCUUAUCGACAAGAGGGUUUACGACCUCGAUGUUGGAUCAGGACAUCCUGAUGGGUGCAGCAGCUAUUAAGGGGUUCGUUUGUUCAACGAUUAACAGUCCUACGUGAUCUGAGAGUUUCAGACCGG